AACUCGAGUUGGAAGAGGCGAGUCCGGUCUCAAAAUGGAGGGCUACGAUCCAAAGGAACCAGAGCAGCUGAGGAAGCUGUUUAUUGGUGGUCUGAGCUUUGAAACCACAGAUGAUAGCUUAAGAGAACAUUUUGAGAAAUGGGGCACACUUACAGACUGUGUGGUAAUGAGAGAUCCUCAAACAAAACGUUCCAGAGGCUUUGGUUUUGUGACCUACUCUUGUGUCGAAGAGGUGGAUGCUGCAAUGUGUGCUCGGCCACACAAGGUUGAUGGACGUGUGGUGGAACCAAAGAGAGCUGUUUCUAGAGAGGAUUCUGUAAAGCCUGGUGCCCAUUUAACGGUGAAGAAGAUUUUUGUUGGUGGUAUUAAAGAGGAUACAGAAGAAUAUAAUCUGAGAGACUACUUUGAAAAGUAUGGCAAGAUUGAAACCAUAGAAGUUAUGGAAGAUGGGCAGAGUGGGAAAAAAGAGGAUUUGCUUUUUGUAACUUUUGAUGAUCAUGACACAGUUGAUAAAAUUGUUGUUCAGAAAUACCACACUAUUAAUGGGCAUAAUUGUGAAGUGAAAAAGGCCCUUUCUAAACAAGAGAUGCAGUCUGCUGGAUCACAGAGAGGUCGUGGAGGUGGAUCUGGCAACUUUAUGGGACGUGGAGGAAACUUUGGUGGUGGCGGAGGAAACUUUGGGCGUGGAGGAAACUUUGGUGGAAGAGGAGGCUAUGGUGGUGGAGGUGGUGGCAGCAGAGGCAGUUAUGGAGGUGGUGAUGGUGGAUAUAAUGGAUUUGGAGGAGGAAAUUUUGGUGGAGGUAACUAUGGUGGUGGUGGGAACUAUAAUGACUUUGGAAAUUAUGGACAGCAACAAUCUAAUUAUGGACCCAUGAAGGGGGGGGCAGUUUGGUGGAAGAAGCUCAGGCAGUCCCUAUGGUGGUGGCUAUGGAUCUGAGGUGGAAGUGGUGGAUAUGGUGGCAGAAGGUUUAAAAAAUAA
Molecule: RNA transcript, 979 nt
Organism: Rattus rattus (black rat)
Lineage: Eukaryota; Metazoa; Chordata; Mammalia; Rodentia; Muridae
Gene name: heterogeneous nuclear ribonucleoprotein A3-like
Exons: 2
Source: RefSeq, a predicted model, not a curated record